UAUGGCUAAGACAUUAAAAGCAAAUGCAACAAAAACAAAAAUAGACAAAUGGGAUUUAAUUAAACUAAAGAGCUUCUGCCCAGCAAAAGAAACAACCAACAGAGUAAACAGGCAACCUACAACAUGGGAGAAAAUAUUUGCAAACUAUGCAUCCAAAGAAGGUCUAAUAUCCACAAUCUAUAAGAAAUUUUAGUAAGUCAGCAAGAAAUAAACAUUAAAAUUGGGCAAAGGACAUGAACAGACACUUCUUAAAAAAACAUACAAGCAGCCAACAAAUAUAUGGAAAAAAUGUUAACAUCACUGAUCAUCAGAGAAAUGCAAAUUAAAACCACAAGGAGAUACCAUCUCACACCAGUUAGAAGGGCUAUUAUUAAAAAGUCAAAAAAUAACAGAUGUUAGUAAGGAUGCAGAGAAAAAGGAACACUUAUACACUGUUGGUGGGAAUGUAAAUUAGUUCCACCCCUAUGGAAAACAAUAUGAAGAUUUCUCAAAGAACUAAAAAUAGAUCAAUCUACUAUACGACCCAGCAAUUCCCAUUAUUGGGUAUCUACCUAAAGGAAAAGAAAUGAUUCUUUCAAAAAGAUACCUGCAGAUCCUUUUGCAGUUCAUGAACAGAUAAACAGCAAGGGAUAACAGAAGUGUAGGAUUGAUUGUGAGCUUCUCCCCCCAAACUCAGAAAAACUGCCAGGCCUAUGGUAACAUCUCCGUUUUCAGAAGCUCAGAAAAGUAAGCUGCUUGCUCAAGAAUGGACGGCUUCAAGGUGGCAGAGCUGGAAGUUUCUAACUCACUCACCUCAUACUCAGACCUGCACUGUUUUUCAAGACAGUCAAUAUUUCAGGCCAUCUACUGAUUGGAUGAGGCCCACCAGCAUUCUGAAAGACAAGGAAUCUGAGACCUGGCUGGGAGAAGAGGACUUGCCUAAAGUUAUCCCACACAGCAAAUUAGUUGGAAAACCAGGAUAGUUGAGUAAAUAUCCUGGAGCCCAGCCAAGUAAUGAAGCCAGAAUUCAGAAAGCUGUUUUGGCUAGAUCUUGGAUUUUUACAAUAAAGGGUCUGUAAGGGAUAUUUGUGAAAAAUGUUGACACUUGACGGCUGUCCUGAUUCAUUCAGCUACCUAGGUUAUCUCUGCCUCUCUUUGACUUGUGUUUUGUCUUUUAAGAUGGCAGUCUUGCUCUUUUGCCUGGGCUGGUCUUGAACUCCUGGGCUCAAGCAGUUUUCCUGCUUUAGCCUCCUGAGUAGCUGGGGCUACAGGAGGACAUCACUGUGCCCAGCUCUCUCCGUAUCUUUGACUAGGUUAUUUUACAACCCCAUACGAUAGAAAUGAAGUUAUAGAAAACUGAUAGGAAUACAAAUAAUUAUUAUCCAUGGAAAUGCAAAUUGGAUCUAAUGGAAUGAAACUGAUUUUUUUUCCAGCAGAUAGUGACCACCUUUGUAUCCUUUUGUAAAUUCAUUUCAGCAUUCCAUAUUUGACUAAAAAUGUGUGACACUCCCAAUUUGCUUUUGAAUUCAUUGUAAUAUCUACCAAUUCCCUCAUUAAUUAAUGAGUUAAAUAAAGCCUUUGGCAUGUAUUUAUUUUGUAUCUAUAGGAGAGUCAUGAGUAUAUCUUCUUUUAAAAGGUAUUCUUCAGUAGGUCUUAGGGUGCACAAUACUUACAUCUUAUUUUCUCAUUCUACACUGUUCCCACACCUCACCCAGAAUAAAUGUAAUCUCCUGUGAGCUUCUGAACAUCAUGAAGAAUAACAGCUCAUUUUGUAAAGUCAUUUAGUAUUCG
Molecule: long non-coding RNA, 1770 nt
Filed under: Homo sapiens (human)
Lineage: Eukaryota; Metazoa; Chordata; Mammalia; Primates; Hominidae
Description: HSALNT0065952
Source: RNAcentral